AGAAUCAACGCUGGCGGCGUGCCUCAGACAUGCAAGUCGAACGCGAAAGUCCCCUUCGGGGGAUAAGUAGAGUGGCGCACGGGUGAGUAACACGUAGGUAAUCUACCUUCGGGUGGGGAAUAACCCAGGGAAACUUGGGCUAACACCGCAUAAUGCAGCGGCACCACAUGGUGACAGUUGUUAAAGCGGGGGAUUUUAGGACCUCGCGCCUGAAGAGGAGCCUGCGGCAGAUUAGCUAGUUGGUAAGGUAACGGCUUACCAAGGCGACGAUCU
This 273-nucleotide ribosomal RNA is filed under the name uncultured bacterium. RNAcentral's name for it is "partial small subunit ribosomal RNA". It matches the Rfam family "Bacterial small subunit ribosomal RNA", at positions 26 to 282 of the family's 1533-position model. The record is from RNAcentral. RNAcentral also lists the same sequence under 1 other name.